AUCCACCUGGGGCUGGGCACCCCUGGGAGCCUGGGCCAGCUGCGGCACAGGUGAGGGGGCACACCUGGGCACACCUGGGCACACCUGGGCACACCCAAAACACACCUGAGAUACACCUGGGCACACCUGGGCACACCUGGGCACACCUGGGGGGGCUCCUGAACACCGAGUGCGUGCGGCAGAUGCCCUGGCCCAAGGUUCACCUGCUGAGCUCGGCCCGCGUGACCUUUGACCAGAGAAUCUUCCAGAACACCUGGGGCGGCACCGAGCUGCAGGUGCAGACGGAGCUGGAGCGCGUGGAGCCCCCCAAUCCCCUCCCCCUCAUUUUGGGGGCGUCCUUGGGGGGGCUCCUCCUGCUGGCCCUGGUGGCGCUCGGCCUCUACAAGGUCGGGUUCUUCAAGCGCCGCUACAAAGAAAUGCUGGAGGGCAACGAGAGCCCCGGGGACCCCCAGGCCGCCAAUUAACUGCGAAUUAAUGAACAUUUUAAUUAAAAUAGUCAUUACAAAUUCAGAUUAAAUAGGCAUUUUAAAAAAUCCGAUAAAAAUUCGUUCAAAAUUCAUUUAAAAAUUCAUAAAAAUCCAUUAAAAAAUCAAAAUUUUGUUUAAAAAUCCCA
RNAcentral lists this long non-coding RNA (613 nucleotides) under Camarhynchus parvulus. Its description in RNAcentral is "lncRNA (ENSCPVG00000018464.1)". The record is from RNAcentral. Lineage: Eukaryota; Metazoa; Chordata; Aves; Passeriformes; Thraupidae.